Molecule: ribosomal RNA, 218 nt
Filed under: uncultured Bacteroidota bacterium
Lineage: Bacteria; Pseudomonadati; Bacteroidota
Description: uncultured Bacteroidetes bacterium partial 16S ribosomal RNA
Rfam family: Bacterial small subunit ribosomal RNA
Source: RNAcentral
UAGGACCAGACUCCUACGGGAGGCAGCAGUAAGGAAUAUUGGUCAAUGGAGGCAACUCUGAACCAGCCAUGCCGCGUGCAGGAAGACGGCCCUAUGGGUUGUAAACUGCUUUUGUACCAGAGAAAACCCUCUUACGUGUAGGAGGUUGAUAGUAUGGUAAGAAUAAGCAUCGGCUAACUUCGUGCCAGCAGCCGCGGUAAGACGAAGGAUGCAUAAUC